This 735-nucleotide ribosomal RNA is filed under the name uncultured bacterium. Its description in RNAcentral is "bacterial SSU rRNA". It matches the Rfam family "Bacterial small subunit ribosomal RNA", at positions 73 to 796 of the family's 1533-position model. The record is from RNAcentral.
GAAAGUCUUCGGACGAGUAAAGCGGCGAAAGGGUGAGUAACACGUAACCAAUCUACCCCUUAGACUGGAAUAACCACUGGAAACGGUGGGUAAUGCCAGAUGGUCCGACCUGGAGGCAUCUCCGGGGCGGUAAACGGUGGCGAAAGCUGCUGCUUUGGGAGGAGGUUGCGGGCUAUCAGCUAGUUGGUGGGGUAACGGCUUACCAAGGCGAUGACGGCUACCGGGUCUGAGAGGACGGUCCGGCACACUGGGACUGAGACACUGCCCAGACUCCUACGGGAGGCUGCAGUCGAGAAUCUUCCGCAAUGGGCGUAAGCCUGACGGAGCGACACCGCGUGUAGGAUGAAGGCCUUCGGGUUGUAAACUACUGUCAGGUUCUAGGAAACUCUUGGUGUGAAUAGCGCCAAGACUGACCAAGACCAAAGGAAGCAACGGCUAACUCUGUGCCAGCAGCCGCGGUAAGACAGAGGUUGCAAGCGUUGUUCGGAAUUACUGGGCAUAAAGCGCACGUAGGCGGCCCGCUAAGUCCGAUGUGAAAUCCCCCGGCUCAACCGGGGAAUUGCGUCAGAUACUGGCGGGCUUGAGGUCGAUAGGGGUGAGUGGAACUCCAGGUGGAGCGGUGAAAUGCGUAGAUAUCUGGAGGAACACCGGUGGCGAAAGCGACUCACUGGAUCGAAUCUGACGCUGAGGUGCGAAAGCUAGGGUAGCAAACGGGAUUAGAUACCCUGGUAGUCC